UGGGGAAUAUUGGACAAUGGGCGCAAGCCUGAUCCAGCAAUGCCGCGUGGGUGAAGAAGGUCUUCGGAUUGUAAAGCCCUUUCGGCGGGGACGAUGAUGACGGUACCCGCAGAAGAAGCCCCGGCUAACUUCGUGCCAGCAGCCGCGGUAAUACGAAGGGGGCUAGCGUUGCUCGGAAUGACUGGGCGUAAAGGGCGCGUAGGCGGCGCAUUUGGUCAGGCGUGAAAGUCCUGGGCUCAACCUGGGGAUUGCGUUUGAUACGGGUGUGCUUGAGUUCGGAAGAGGGUCGUGGAAUUCCCAGUGUAGAGGUGAAAUUCGUAGAUAUUGGGAAGAACACCGGUGGCGAAGGCGGCGACCUGGUCCGUGACUGACGCUGAGGCGCGAAAGCGUGGGGAGCAAACAGG
Molecule: ribosomal RNA, 404 nt
Filed under: uncultured bacterium
Lineage: Bacteria
Description: bacterial SSU rRNA
Rfam family: Bacterial small subunit ribosomal RNA
Source: RNAcentral